RNAcentral lists this ribosomal RNA (325 nucleotides) under uncultured eukaryote. RNAcentral's name for it is "partial 18S ribosomal RNA". It matches the Rfam family "Eukaryotic small subunit ribosomal RNA", at positions 1470 to 1796 of the family's 1831-position model. The record is from RNAcentral.
CCCUUAGAUGUUCUGGGCCGCACGCGUGCUACACUGAGUGGAUCAGCGGGUCAGGUUGCGCGAAAGCGUUUCCUAAUCUUUAAAUCCGCUCGUGAUGGGGAUUGACGGUUGCAAUUUUCUGUCAUGAACGAGGAAUACCUUGUAAGCGCGGGUCAUCAUCCCGCGCUGAAUACGUCCCUGCCCUUUGUACACACCGCCCGUCGCUCCUACCGAUUGAAUGGUUUAGUGAGGACUCCUGAUUGGCGCCGCCGCCCCGGCAACGGAGCAGCGGACUGCCGAAAAGUUGUUCAAACUUGAUCAUUUAGAGGAAGUAAAAGUCGUAACA